AGGAAAGUCCAGACACCACAGGGCAAGAUUCCUCAUGCAAAUGAGGGCCAGGCAAUCGCUUGGACGGCUAGUGUCGCAGAAAACAAACCGCCUGUAUAGGUAAGGAUGAAACGGCGAGGUAAGAGCUCACCGCAUGAUUAGUGAUAAUUAUGGCAGGAUAAACCCAAUCUGGUGCAAGACGGAAUAGGGAGUUGAGUGGCCCGCUCUAAAACUUCGGGUUCGUCGCACUCGCAAGAGAACGACCUUCCAAAUUGGAAGGUUGUUAGAUAAAUGAAUGCAGCCUUUAAAGGUACAGAAUCUGGCUUAUAGACCGUAAACCCAU
Molecule: RNase P RNA, 322 nt
Filed under: Opitutia bacterium
Lineage: Bacteria; Pseudomonadati; Verrucomicrobiota; Opitutia
Description: partial RNase P RNA component class A
Rfam family: Bacterial RNase P class A
About the family: Ribonuclease P (RNase P) is a ubiquitous endoribonuclease, found in archaea, bacteria and eukarya as well as chloroplasts and mitochondria. Its best characterised activity is the generation of mature 5'-ends of tRNAs by cleaving the 5'-leader elements of precursor-tRNAs. Cellular RNase Ps are ribonucleoproteins.
Source: RNAcentral